RNAcentral lists this long non-coding RNA (208 nucleotides) under Nicotiana benthamiana. RNAcentral describes it as "long non-coding RNA (NBEN_LNC039278)". The record is from RNAcentral. Lineage: Eukaryota; Viridiplantae; Streptophyta; Magnoliopsida; Solanales; Solanaceae.
GAACGGACCAUAACACUAAGAGUAUCAUACAAAAAUGGAACGUAGGAAGUAGUAGAUUAAUCCCGCACCCGCUCUUUAAACGUCGAAAUUUUCAUGAUCAACUACAUUAAAUGGUCAUCACAUUCUUUAGCGACGCCAUCACACUUCCAAUCAUUUCGGUGCACUUCAGUCACUUGGGUGCUCUUUUGGACAACACAUAAAGAAAGAA